Molecule: ribosomal RNA, 1591 nt
Filed under: Galbula dea
Lineage: Eukaryota; Metazoa; Chordata; Aves; Piciformes; Galbulidae
Description: 16S ribosomal RNA
Rfam family: Bacterial large subunit ribosomal RNA
Source: RNAcentral
AGCCACCCUCUAGCCCAGCCACCUGUAAAUAGAGCAAUAGACACAAUUCAACCCCCUCAUUUAACUAAACCAUUCUCUUGGCCUAGUAUAGGCGAUAGAAAGGCCCACCUUGGCGCCAUAGAGCCCCAGUACCGUAAGGGAAAGAUGAAAUAGCAAUGAAAAGUUUUAAGCAACAAGCAGCAAAGAUCAACCCUUGUACCUCUUGCAUCAUGGUCUAGCAAGAAUAACCAAGCAAAACGAAUUAUAGCUUGCCAUCCCGAAACCUAAGCGAGCUACUUGCAAGCAGCUAUCUAUGGGCUAACCCGUCUCUGUCGCAAAAGAGUGGGAUGACUUGCUAGUAGAGGUGAAAAGCCAAUCGAGCUAGGUGAUAGCUGGUUGCCUGCAAACUGAAUCUCAGUUCACCCUUGAUAGCCCCUCAAAGCAUAAUCCGAAGCCCCACCGUGAAUAUCAAGUGAUAUUUAAAGGGGGUACAGCCCCUUUAAAGGCAGAAAACAGUCUCUCCUAGCGGAUAACCCACACCCUCGCUUCUUCCCCCGUAGGCCUUAAAGCAGCCAUCAACCAAGAAUGCGUCAAAGCUCCAAUCAUAAAAGAUCCCCAAACUACAAGAUUCCCUUUUCCCUAGCAGGCCAACCUAUAGCCGGUAGGAGUACCAAUGCUAGAAUAAGUAACCAGGGGCCACCCCUCUAAAGCGCAACCUUACAUCCACCUAUUAUUAACAAACCUUAGUACUUAAAUUACAACUGGACCAGGUAUUAACUAUAUUGUUGAACCAACUCAGGAGCGCCCAAUAGAAAGAUUUAAAUCUGUAGAAGGAACUAGGCAAACCCAAGGCCCGACUGUUUACCAAAAACAUAGCCUUCAGCCAUCCAAGUAUUGAAGGUGAUGCCUGCCCAGUGACACUUGUUUAACGGCCGCGGUAUCCUAACCGUGCAAAGGUAGCGCAAUCAAUUGUCUCAUAAAUUGAGACCUGUAUGAAUGGCCCAACGAGGUCUUAACUGUCUCCUACAGAUAAUCGGUGAAAUUGAUCUCCCUGUGCAAAAGCAGGGAUACAAGCAUAAGACGAGAAGACCCUGUGGAACUUAAAAAUCAAGGACCACUACACUCUUCAACCGAACCUACCAGGCUCACUCCACCGUAAGCUGGUCCAUAUUUUUCGGUUGGGGCGACCUUGGAGAAAAGUAAAUCCUCCAAAAAUAGGACCACCCCUCCUCACCAAGAAAGACACCUCAACGUGCUAACAGCUACCAGACCCAGUACAACUGACCAAUGAACCAAGCUACCCCAGGGAUAACAGCGCAAUCUCCCCCGAGAGCCCAUAUCGACAGGGAGGUUUACGACCUCGAUGUUGGAUCAGGACAUCCUAAUGGUGCAGCCGCUAUUAAGGGUUCGUUUGUUCAACGAUUAACAGUCCUACGUGAUCUGAGUUCAGACCGGAGCAAUCCAGGUCGGUUUCUAUCUAUGACUAGCCCUUCCCUAGUACGAAAGGACCGGGAAGACAGGGCCACUGUUUCAGACACGCCCUCCCCUUAAGUACUGCUUCCAACUAAACUACUAAAAGGGCAUAACAUACCCUACUCCUAGAAAAGGAACC